GCGGGAGUAGCUCAGUUGGUAGAGCAUCAGCUUCCCAAGCUGAGGGUCGCGGGUUCGAGUCCCAUCUCCCGCU
RNAcentral lists this transfer RNA (73 nucleotides) under Gemmatimonadota bacterium. Its description in RNAcentral is "Gemmatimonadetes bacterium tRNA-Gly". It matches the Rfam family "tRNA". Rfam says of the family: Transfer RNA (tRNA) molecules are approximately 80 nucleotides in length. Their secondary structure includes four short double-helical elements and three loops (D, anti-codon, and T loops). Further hydrogen bonds mediate the characteristic L-shaped molecular structure. tRNAs have two regions of fundamental functional importance: the anti-codon, which is responsible for specific mRNA codon recognition, and the 3' end, to which the tRNAs corresponding amino acid is attached (by aminoacyl-tRNA synthetases). tRNAs cope with the degeneracy of the genetic code in two manners: having more than one tRNA (with a specific anti-codon) for a particular amino acid; and 'wobble' base-pairing, i.e. permitting non-standard base-pairing at the 3rd anti-codon position. Lineage: Bacteria; Pseudomonadati; Gemmatimonadota. The record is from RNAcentral.